UUCAUUGUUUACUUUCGGAAGACAAGUACUACUCUUUUGUAAGUUUAUUGAUUCUCGUUUACGCUUGCGUAGCUGAUUGUCCAUCCGUUUUCCUAUGUAAAACAUUGUAAAUCCAUCCAUUAAAACCUAUAACAUUUUAAAAAAAAAAAAUUACUUAUUUCAUUCUAUUUCUUUUACCAAAUUUUACUUUCCUAUUUAAACAAUAUACUUUAUUGCUGCGUUUUAAGCUUUUUCUUUUUCAUUCUCUUCAUAUGAAUAUCAUAUAAACACAUGUUAAUUCUUUCCUCCUUCGGUCAGCAUAUCCCCACACAGCUUAUUAGAUUAUACCCUUCAAUUAAUAAAUUCUUCUAUAUUAAAAAAUUAUACCAAUGGUUUAACUCGCAAUUCUAAAGGAUAUGUGGUAAUUUGGUAAGACGUACCUGUUACGGGUAGGUUUCUUUGAAUUAGAAAUCUCCUUACAUAGUCUCGUUAGUUGAGAUUGUUUCUUUGUGAGAAUAAAUUGAUCUGUUUAAAAUGCCGACUUCAAAAAGACAUAAGACAAUUGGGAAAACUUUCAAACUAAUUAAGAAAUUACCUUAUAGAAAGAGAAUUUAAUCACGAUUCUAAAGGUAUCCAUAGAUUUGAAACACGGUAAAUAACACAACAGUAAUAAGAAAAUUCGUACCAUUAGUUUUCUUUAAGCUGCAGGUGAAAAUUUCUUUAACUACAUUUUUGUUCUGGGCGUUGAUUGAGGCUGAUCCUUCGUUGAUUGAGCUGAUUCUUCGUUGAAAUUAUACUAUUUAGUGCUGGUGCUUGGGCGGUCAAUUCGUAAUUUUGGAUUUAAGAAAGAGAUUCAGAGAAAGCCGACCAACUUCCAGUCUCACCACACCAUCAAUUUUUUCAUUAAAAGGGGAUACCAAUUGAAUGCCCAAUUGCCUGAGCU
RNAcentral lists this long non-coding RNA (922 nucleotides) under Citrus maxima (pomelo). RNAcentral's name for it is "long non-coding RNA (CMAX_LNC000824)". The record is from RNAcentral. Lineage: Eukaryota; Viridiplantae; Streptophyta; Magnoliopsida; Sapindales; Rutaceae.